Non-coding RNA from Podarcis lilfordi (Lilford's wall lizard), 75 nucleotides. The record is from the annotation of a GenBank genome assembly. Lineage: Eukaryota; Metazoa; Chordata; Lepidosauria; Squamata; Lacertidae.
GGAGAGGUCAUAUCUCAGUGGUAGAAUACAUGCUUUGUAUGCAUGAGGUCCAAGGUUCAUUCCUGGCUCUCUCCC